AACGAACGCUGGCGGCAUGCCUAACACAUGCAAGUCGAACGAGACCUUCGGGUCUCGUGGCGCACGGGUGCGUAACGCGUGGGAACCUGCCCUUAGGUUCGGAAUAACUCCCCGAAAGGGGUGCUAAUACCGGAUAAUGUCUUCGGACCAAAGAUUUCUCGCCUUUGGAUGGGCCCGCGUUGGAUUAGCUAGUUGGUAGGGUAAAAGCCUACCAAGGCGACGAUCCAUAGCUGGUCUGAGAGGAUGAUCAGCCACACUGGGACUGAGACACGGCCCAGACUCCUACGGGAGGCAGCAGUGAAGAAUAUUGGACAAUGGGCGAAAGCCUGAUCCAGCAAUGCCGCGUGAGUGAUGAAGGCCUUAGGGUUGUAAAGCUCUUUUACCCGGGAUGAUAAUGACAGUACCGGGAGAAUAAGCUCCGGCUAACUCCGUG
Molecule: ribosomal RNA, 433 nt
Filed under: uncultured bacterium
Lineage: Bacteria
Description: partial 16S ribosomal RNA
Rfam family: Bacterial small subunit ribosomal RNA
Source: RNAcentral